Molecule: unclassified non-coding RNA, 216 nt
Filed under: Basidiomycota sp.
Lineage: Eukaryota; Fungi; Basidiomycota
Description: partial contains small subunit ribosomal RNA, internal transcribed spacer 1, and 5.8S ribosomal RNA
Rfam family: Eukaryotic small subunit ribosomal RNA (bases 1-47)
Source: RNAcentral
AAAGUCGUAACAAGGUUUCCGUAGGUGAACCUGCGGAAGGAUCAUUACAAAUCCAUCCAUUCUCCGACACCCGUUGCACCCGGCCGCCCGCAGCGCCGCUGCAUCGUUCGCGAUGCGGCCGCCGCGGCGCGCCUAUUUGACGCCCCGGACCGAUGAUCCCACGAACGUAUACACACAACCUAGAAACAACUUAUAACAAUGGAUCUCUAGGCUCUU